GACGAACGCUGGCGGCGUGCUUAACACAUGCAAGUCGAACGGAAAGGCCCUGCUUUUGUGGGGUGCUCGAGUGGCGAACGGGUGAGUAACACGUGAGUAACCUGCCCUUGACUUUGGGAUAACUUCAGGAAACUGGGGCUAAUACCGGAUAGGAGCUCCUGCUGCAUGGUGGGGGUUGGAAAGUUUCGGCGGUUGGGGAUGGACUCGCGGCUUAUCAGCUUGUUGGUGGGGUAGUGGCUUACCAAGGCUUUGACGGGUAGCCGGCCUGAGAGGGUGACCGGCCACAUUGGGCCUGCGAUACGGCCCAGACUCCUACGGGAGGCAGCAGUGGGGAAUAUUGCACAAUGGGCGGAAGCCUGAUGCAGCAGCGCCGCGUGCGGGAUGACGGCCUUCGGGUUGUAAACCGCUUUCGCCUGUGACGAAGCGUGAGUGACGGUAAUGGGUAAAGAAGCACCGGCUAACUACGUG
RNAcentral lists this ribosomal RNA (468 nucleotides) under uncultured bacterium. RNAcentral's name for it is "partial 16S ribosomal RNA". It matches the Rfam family "Bacterial small subunit ribosomal RNA", at positions 28 to 507 of the family's 1533-position model. The record is from RNAcentral.